Molecule: ribosomal RNA, 435 nt
Filed under: uncultured Acidimicrobiales bacterium
Lineage: Bacteria; Bacillati; Actinomycetota; Acidimicrobiia; Acidimicrobiales
Description: bacterial SSU rRNA
Rfam family: Bacterial small subunit ribosomal RNA
Source: RNAcentral
ACGGGAGGCAGCAGUGGGGAAUCUUGCGCAAUGGGCGAAAGCCUGACGCAGCAACGCCGCGUGCGGGAUGACGGCCCUCGGGUUGUAAACCGCUUUCAGCAGGAACGAAUCUGACGGUACCUGCAGAAGAAGGUCCGGCCAACUACGUGCCAGCAGCCGCGGUAACACGUAGGGACCAAGCGUUGUCCGGAUUUAUUGGGCGUAAAGAGCUCGUAGGCGGUUCGGUAAGUCGGGUGUGAAAACUCUGGGCUCAACUCGGAGAGGCCACCCGAUACUGCCGUGACUCGAGUCCGGUAGGGGAGCACGGAAUUCCUGGUGUAGCGGUGAAAUGCGCAGAUAUCAGGAGGAACACCGGUGGCGAAGGCGGUGCUCUGGGCCGGUACUGACGCUGAGGAGCGAAAGCGUGGGUAGCAAACAGGAUUAGAUACCCUGGUA